Molecule: ribosomal RNA, 506 nt
Filed under: uncultured bacterium
Lineage: Bacteria
Description: partial 16S ribosomal RNA
Rfam family: Bacterial small subunit ribosomal RNA
Source: RNAcentral
AUUGAACGCUGGCGGCAGGCCUAACACAUGCAAGUCGAACGGCAGCACAGAAGAGCUUGCUCUUUGGGUGGCGAGUGGCGGACGGGUGAGUAAUGUCUGGGAAACUGCCCGAUGGAGGGGGAUAACUACUGGAAACGGUAGCUAAUACCGCAUAACGUCGCGAGACCAAAGUGGGGGACCUUCGGGCCUCACACCAUCGGAUGUGCCCAGAUGGGAUAAGCUAGUGGGUGGGGUAAUGGCUCACCUAGGCGACGAUCCCUAGCUGGUCUGAGAGGAUGACCAGCCACACUGGAACUGAGACACUGUCCAGACUCCUACGGGAGGCAGCAGUGGGGAAUAUUGCACAAUGGGCGCAAGCCUGAUGCAGCCAUGCCGCGUGUAUGAAGAAGGCCUUCGGGUUGUAAAGUACUUUCAGCGGGGAGGAAGGCGGUGAGGUUAAUAACCUUGCCGAUUGACGUUACCCGCAGAAGAAGCACCGGCUAACUCCGUGCCAGCAGCCGCCGUAA